UUGGCCUUUUAUUUGGCACCUGCAGGCAAA
This 30-nucleotide non-coding RNA is filed under the name Mus musculus (house mouse). Lineage: Eukaryota; Metazoa; Chordata; Mammalia; Rodentia; Muridae. The record is from RNAcentral.